CGUGUAGGCGGUUGGUCAAGUCUGGCGUGAAAGCCCGGGCUUAGCUCCGGAAGUGCGCUGGAAACUAGCCGACUGGAGCGCGAUAGAGGAGGGUGGAAUUCCUGGUGUAGCGGUGAAAUGCGUAGAUAUCAGGAGGAACACCGGCGGCGAAGGCGGCCCUCUGGAUCGUUGCUGACGCUGAGACGCGAAAGCGUGGGGAGCAAACAGGAUUAGAUACCCUGGUAGUCCACGCUGUAAACUAUGGGUACUAGGUGUUCGGGGUGUUGACCCCCUGAGUGCCGACGCUAACGCAUUAAGUACCCCGCCUGGGGACUACGGCCGCAAGGCUAAA
Molecule: ribosomal RNA, 331 nt
Filed under: uncultured bacterium
Lineage: Bacteria
Description: bacterial SSU rRNA
Rfam family: Bacterial small subunit ribosomal RNA
Source: RNAcentral